AGAGUUUGAUCAUGGCUCAGAUUGAACGCUGGCGGCAGGCCUAACACAUGCAAGUCGAACGGUAACAGGAAGCAGCUUGCUGCUUUGCUGACGAGUGGCGGACGGGUGAGUAAUGUCUGGGAAACUGCCUGAUGGAGGGGGAUAACUACUGGAAACGGUGGCUAAUACCGCAUAACGUCGCAAGACCAAAGAGGGGGACCUUCGGGCCUCUUGCCAUCAGAUGUGCCCAGAUGGGAUUAGCUUGUUGGUGAGGUAACGGCUCACCAAGGCGACGAUCCCUAGCUGGUCUGAGAGGAUGACCAGCCACACUGGAACUGAGACACGGUCCAGACUCCUACGGGAGGCAGCAGUGGGGAAUAUUGCACAAUGGGCGCAAGCCUGAUGCAGCCAUGCCGCGUGUAUGAAGAAGGCCUUCGGGUUGUAAAGUACUUUCAGCGGGGAGGAAGGUGUUGUGGUUAAUAACCGCAGCAAUUGACGUUACCCGCAGAAGAAGCACCGGCUAACUCCGUGCCAGCAGCCGCGGUAAUACGGAGGGUGCAAGCGUUAAUCGGAAUUACUGGGCGUAAAGCGCACGCAGGCGGUCUGUCAAGUCGGAUGUGAAAUCCCCGGGCUCAACCUGGGAACUGCAUUCGAAACUGGCAGGCUUGAGUCUUGUAGAGGGGGGUAGAAUUCCAGGUGUAGCGGUGAAAUGCGUAGAGAUCUGGAGGAAUACCGGUGGCGAAGGCGGCCCCCUGGACAAAGACUGACGCUCAGGUGCGAAAGCGUGGGGAGCAAACAGGAUUAGAUACCCUGGUAGUCCACGCCGUAAACGAUGUCUACUUGGAGGUUGUGCCCUUGAGGCGUGGCUUCCGGAGCUAACGCGUUAAGUAGACCGCCUGGGGAGUACGGCCGCAAGGUUAAAACUCAAAUGAAUUGACGGGGGCCCGCACAAGCGGUGGAGCAUGUGGUUUAAUUCGAUGCAACGCGAAGAACCUUACCUGGUCUUGACAUCCACAGAACUUUCCAGAGAUGGAUUGGUGCCUUCGGGAACUGUGAGACAGGUGCUGCAUGGCUGUCGUCAGCUCGUGUUGUGAAAUGUUGGGUUAAGUCCCGCAACGAGCGCAACCCUUAUCCUUUGUUGCCAGCGGUCCGGCCGGGAACUCAAAGGAGACUGCCAGUGAUAAACUGGAGGAAGGUGGGGAUGACGUCAAGUCAUCAUGGCCCUUACGACCAGGGCUACACACGUGCUACAAUGGCGCAUACAAAGAGAAGCGACCUCGUGAGAGCAAGCGGACCUCAUAAAGUGCGUCGUAGUCCGGAUUGGAGUCUGCAACUCGACUCCAUGAAGUCGGAAUCGCUAGUAAUCGUGGAUCAGAAUGCCACGGUGAAUACGUUCCCGGGCCUUGUACACACCGCCCGUCACACCAUGGGAGUGGGUUGCAAAAGAAGUAGGUAGCUUAACCUUCGGGAGGGCGCUUACCACUUUGUGAUUCAUGACUGGGGUGAAGUCGUAACAAGGUAACCGUAGGGGAACCUGCGGUUGGAUCACCUCCUU
RNAcentral lists this ribosomal RNA (1534 nucleotides) under Salmonella enterica subsp. enterica serovar Typhi str. Ty2. RNAcentral's name for it is "bacterial SSU rRNA". It matches the Rfam family "Bacterial small subunit ribosomal RNA". The record is from RNAcentral. Lineage: Bacteria; Pseudomonadati; Pseudomonadota; Gammaproteobacteria; Enterobacterales; Enterobacteriaceae.